Molecule: ribosomal RNA, 273 nt
Filed under: uncultured bacterium
Lineage: Bacteria
Description: partial 16S ribosomal RNA
Rfam family: Bacterial small subunit ribosomal RNA
Source: RNAcentral
UACAGAGGUCUCGAGCGUUGUUCGGAUUCAUUGGGCGUAAAGGGUGCGUAGGCGGUAGACUAAGUUUGGUGUGAAAUCCUGGGGCUUAACCCCAGAAUUGCACUGAAUACUGGUUUGCUGGAGGACUGGAGAGGAGAUUGGAAUUCACGGUGUAGCAGUGAAAUGCGUAGAUAUCGUGAGGAAGACCAGUGGCGAAGGCGAAUCUCUGGACAGUUCCUGACGCUGAGGCACGAAGGCCAGGGGAGCAAACGGGAUUAGAAACCCCAGUAGUCC